Molecule: unclassified non-coding RNA, 240 nt
Filed under: soil metagenome
Description: partial contains 5.8S ribosomal RNA, internal transcribed spacer 2, and large subunit ribosomal RNA
Source: RNAcentral
AACACUGUUAACCUGCGGUACCUGCGGAAGGAUCAUUCAAAAAAUUCUUGAUGAUACACCCCCUUGUGUGCACUCGUAUUAUUACCCCCCAUUUUUGGCAUGACCUUUAGCAUGGGGUCCAGCUUUGCCGGACCCCUGAGUUAAGGCCUACCUUGGCGUUAGUCGUCUCGGUAGGAAGCGCAUGCCAGAGUGGUUUAUAAUCAACUCGUUUUUUUAUGUAUUGUCUGAACUUGAUUUUAU